UUGCAGCAAGAUGAGAAGGAUAAUACCAUAAUUGUAUUACAUGUUGCUGCAGCUCUUGCGGUUGCUACUUCUCCAUUAGGGUGUGCUAAUUGUUGAUGUCCAGUAGGAGCAAUUAUGAUAGGUGCAGGCAUCUUGUACCCCAACAAGGUGGUUGACAUAUCUAUUUUACUGACAUCUACAAGAACCCUUGGUCGUAACAUUAUUCUUUGAAAUGCGCAAAUGUUCUCUUUCAAGGUAGUUUGAUCCUCAGCUCCUCCUCUGAAGUAAUCAUAGUUCAUUUUCGGAAGGGCGUGCCUAGCAAGUUCUUCGAACUCACUUACAUUAACUGGGUCUGACGCCAUGUUCCCUUGAAUUCUGCUGAAUAGAUUUGGGGA
This 374-nucleotide unclassified non-coding RNA is filed under the name Hevea brasiliensis (rubber tree). Lineage: Eukaryota; Viridiplantae; Streptophyta; Magnoliopsida; Malpighiales; Euphorbiaceae. The record is from RNAcentral.